RNAcentral lists this long non-coding RNA (727 nucleotides) under Marmota monax (woodchuck). The record is from RNAcentral. Lineage: Eukaryota; Metazoa; Chordata; Mammalia; Rodentia; Sciuridae.
CCAGAAGGAGGGUCUGGUGUUGCAGGGGAGGAGGGGCACGCAGGUGGGCCCUGAGCUGGCCAGGGUGCCUCCCUAGUAUUCAGUGUAGUGCUAGGCAAGUGCUCCACCUCUGAGCUCCAGUGACCUGGGAUUACAGCGCUGGACACAUCAGCGCUUCUUGCAGCCCAGGAAACCCUGACGGGACACCUGCCUAGGGGAAGAGGAGGAGCUGCCCACUGACAGGGGUUCCCACCAAGCUCUGCCCCCAUCAAGGGCCUGCCCAGAGCAGGGUGGGGAGUCCAGUCUUUUCUUUCAGGCCUGAGCUCUGAGAAGUGGUUGCAAAGCAAGGGGCCUGCCUCCACUCCCGCCCACCACUGCCCUUGGCGCCCAGGACCAGGAUACCCAGCUUCACCUUCUGGCUGACAGCUCCCAAGUUUGUAGCCACUGCCUCAGGACUCUGACUCCUACCUACCAUGCUGUGGGGUGCAGGGGAGAGCCACUGGGCUUGGAUAGGGGGUGUCCUCGGGGCUCUGGGUCUUUACUAAAGGUACAGUAACAGCCCUCUGCGGGCGCUGAACACAAGUCUGCUAAAUGUGAAUUCCCCGCUAAAUGUGCGACACGUUUUUAUAUAAAAAAUUGUUUUCAGAAAUUCACAUUUAGCCCAAGUCUGUAUUUGCAUUUGCUAAAACUGGCCUUGAGCCUGCCAGGCUGAGGGGAGGAGCAGAGAGCUGAGGGCCAAGGAGGCCGC